This 490-nucleotide ribosomal RNA is filed under the name uncultured bacterium. RNAcentral's name for it is "partial 16S ribosomal RNA". It matches the Rfam family "Bacterial small subunit ribosomal RNA", at positions 30 to 507 of the family's 1533-position model. The record is from RNAcentral.
AUUGAACGCUGGCGGCAGGCCUAACACAUGCAAGUCGAACGGUAACAGGAAGCAGCUUGCUGCUCCGCUGACGAGUGGCGGACGGGUGAGUAAUGUCUGGGAAGCUGCCUGAUGGAGGGGGAUAACUACUGGAAACGGUAGCUAAUACCGCAUAAUGUCGCAAGACCAAAGAGGGGGACCUUCGGGCCUCUUGUCAUCGGAUGUGCCCAGAUGGGAUUAGCUUGUUGGUGGGGUAACGGCUCACCAAGGCGACGAUCCCUAGCUGGUCUGAGAGGAUGACCAGCCACACUGGAACUGAGACACGGUCCAGACUCCUACGGGAGGCAUCAGUGGGGAAUAUUGCACAAUGGGCGCAAGCCUGAUGCAGCCAUGCCGCGUGUAUGAAGAAGGCCUUCGGGUUGUAAAGUACUUUCAGCGGGGAGGAAGGGAGUAAAGUUAAUACCUUUGCUCAUUGACGUUACCCGCAGAAGAAGCACCGGCUAACUCCGUG